UUGAAGGCUGAAAUUCGCCUUCAUGAAGCUGGAAUUGCUAGUAAUGGCAGGUCAGCAUACUGCCGUGAAUACGUUCCCGGGCCUUGUACACACCGCCCGUCACACCAUGAGAGUUGGAAAUACCCGAAGCCUGUGAGCUAACUGUAAAGAGGCAGCAGUCGAAGGUAGAGCCAAUGAUUGGGGUGAAGUCGUAACAAGGUACC
RNAcentral lists this ribosomal RNA (203 nucleotides) under uncultured bacterium. Its description in RNAcentral is "partial 16S ribosomal RNA". It matches the Rfam family "Bacterial small subunit ribosomal RNA", at positions 1298 to 1500 of the family's 1533-position model. The record is from RNAcentral.